RNAcentral lists this ribosomal RNA (253 nucleotides) under uncultured bacterium. RNAcentral's name for it is "partial 16S ribosomal RNA". It matches the Rfam family "Bacterial small subunit ribosomal RNA", at positions 524 to 776 of the family's 1533-position model. The record is from RNAcentral.
UACGAAGGGGGCUAGCGUUGCUCGGAAUCACUGGGCGUAAAGCGCACGUAGGCGGAUUCUUAAGUCAGGGGUGAAAUCCUGGAGCUCAACUCCAGAACUGCCUUUGAUACUGAGAAUCUCGAGUUCGGGAGAGGUGAGUGGAACUGCGAGUGUAGAGGUGAAAUUCGUAGAUAUUCGCAAGAACACCAGUGGCGAAGGCGGCUCACUGGCCCGAAACUGACGCUGAGGUGCGAAAGCGUGUGGAGCAAACAGG